AUUGAACGCUGGCGGCAGGCCUAACACAUGCAAGUCGAACGGUAACAGGAAGCAGCUUGCUGCUUCGCUGACGAGUGGCGGACGGGUGAGUAAUGUCUGGGAAACUGCCUGAUGGAGUGGGAUAACUACUGGAAACGGUAGCUAAUACCGCAUAACGUCGCAAGACCAAAGAGGGGGACCUUAGGGCCUCUUGCCAUCGGAUGUGCCCAGAUGGGAUUAGCUAGUAGGUGGGGUAACGGCUCACCUAGGCGACGAUCCCUAGCUGGUCUGAGAGGAUGACCAGCCACACUGGAACUGAGACACGGUCCAGACUACUACGGGAGGCAGCAGUGGGGAAUAUUGCACAAUGGGCGCAAGCCUGAUGCAGCCAUGCAGCGUGUAUGAAGACGGCCUUCGGGUUGUAAAGUACUUUCAGCGGGGAGGAAGGGAGUAAAGUUAAUACCUUUGCUCAUUGACGUUACCCGCAGAAGAAGCACCGGCUAACUACGUG
RNAcentral lists this ribosomal RNA (490 nucleotides) under uncultured bacterium. RNAcentral describes it as "partial 16S ribosomal RNA". It matches the Rfam family "Bacterial small subunit ribosomal RNA", at positions 30 to 507 of the family's 1533-position model. The record is from RNAcentral.